RNAcentral lists this ribosomal RNA (489 nucleotides) under uncultured soil bacterium. RNAcentral's name for it is "bacterial SSU rRNA". It matches the Rfam family "Bacterial small subunit ribosomal RNA", at positions 26 to 524 of the family's 1533-position model. The record is from RNAcentral.
AGGAUAAACGCUGGCGGCGUGCAUUAGACAUGCAAGUCGAACGGACUUCUCGGGGCUUGCUCUGAGAAGUUAGUGGCGGACGGCUGAGUAACGCGUAGGUGACCUACCCCGAAGUGGGGAAUAACUGCCCGAAAGGGUGGCUAAUACCGCAUGUGAUCGUAUGUUCAUUCGUACGAUCAAAGCCGUAAGGCGCUUUGGGAGGGGCCUGCGUCCGAUUAGCUCGUUGGUGGGGUAAUGGCUCACCAAGGCGACGAUCGGUAGGUGGUCUGAGAGGACGAUCACCCAGACUGGGACUGAGACACGGCCCAGACUCCUACGGGAGGCAGCAGUCGGGAAUUUUGCUCAAUGGCGCAAGGCCUGAAGCAGCAACGCCGCGUGGAGGGAUGAAAGGGCCUUACGGGGUUGUUAAACCUCUUUUAAUCGAGGGUACGAUUAUGACGGUACCUGAUGAAUAAGCCACGGCUAACUACGUAGCCUAGACACGCCGAC